CAUGUGUCCUAAAUGUUUAUUUAAAUUAGUUUUUCCUAAAGAACCAUUGCGCAUCAGUCCUUCAACUGUGAAUUGAAUUGACUUUGACUACACUUUCAUUCUUCAGUCUCUCAGACUGAAAUCAAAGAGCAGUGGUACUGUGGCAUCUCUUUGAGUGAGGUGGGUUAAGUGAUGCUUGACAUUAACAAAUGCUGAUGGGCAUAAGUCCUUACAUUAGCACACCCACUGGCUCACGACGUUGAUGUUAGCAUGCUAACAUUACAAGCUUGGCAUGGUUACCUUAGUCUGGUGCAUCCGCAUUAUGUUUAUUUGCUUAUUUAAAUCAAGCUUGCAAGCGACAAGGAGGCAUCCAUGAAAGAUAUAAUAAGACUAACUGUCUAAAUACUAUGUAUUUUUUAAAACAGCAACAACACUAUUGCCACAAACAACAUCAUCAACAUCAGCAAGAACUAAAACAACAACAACAACAUCAUCAAAAACAAUACAGACAAUGUUACCGACAACUAAAACAGCAACGCCGCAAAAAACUAACACAAGAGCACCAAAUAAAACACAGAAGCUGUUGCCAACUUCAGCUGCAACAACAGAAAAAACAGCAGCACAAACGGCAUCAUAUGUAAGAUCCAGUGACAACUUAAAAUCUUUUGGAUCAUCAUCCCCACCACAAGAAAUUGCUUCAUCAGAUAACGUGUUAAAGUACUUUCCCCUAUCGAUGGGCCUCAUCCUGCUCCUGCUAACAAUUGUUUAUCUGUACAAAAGCUUGAAGAGACAAAUCACAAAAUGGAGAGAGAAUAAUGCAGAGAAUUGUUCUGUACCACAAGAGUUGACCGUUUCGCAGCCAAUCACUCAGCCAAGAGUUGCAAAAAGGAAUGAAGAGGAGGGCACCCAGUUUCUGGAUGACCAUAGGCUGCCAUGUCACCUUUAAAUGACAAAACCUGCCCUGACUGAACUGGUGAAAAUGGAAAGCUGCACUAAGGACCACACUGUCAAAACUGCUGCUGUCUGUUUCAUUACGUCACAGCCGUGGGAUCUGGAUACUAUAAUGAAAAGGACAAAAGAAUGACUGCGUGUUGCAAAUGUCCUGGGCCCAAAUUAAGGAAGCCAUCCCAUUCAAGUCCUAUGGCAGUAAAUGAGGAGCUGGACUCACUUAAGCGAGAAAAAAAGGAAACAAGCCCAUCUAGUAAAGCAGGAGGUCAAAACAAGCAACAGGUCAUAACAAACCUGAGCAGAUGCUGAGGACUAGUUACGUGGUGGCGUUAGGUCAGUGACUGCAGAGGCAGAGAGUUUGCAGAUGGCCAGGGAAGUGGACAGUAUUAGUGUUAUGAAAUCAGUCCACGCCGGCUGUCAAACGCUGACGCCAUUCUUCAGUUUUAUACCCUAGGUCAUGGCAUCUUCUAAAUAAGUGACACCUUCACGUCAGCAUGCCAUGCACAAGGCUUGGCUUUCUUGGAAUAUCUAACACUAAUAAUAAAAAACUUUGAAACAAAAGUUUUUUCA
RNAcentral lists this long non-coding RNA (1497 nucleotides) under Betta splendens (Siamese fighting fish). Its description in RNAcentral is "lncRNA (ENSBSLG00000006662.1)". Lineage: Eukaryota; Metazoa; Chordata; Actinopteri; Anabantiformes; Osphronemidae. The record is from RNAcentral.